CCCCUAGAUGUUCUGGGCCGCACGCGCGCUACACUGAACAGUUCAACAAGUCUUAACCUUGGCCGAUAGGUCUGGGUAAUCUUUGAACGCUGUUCGUGAUUGGGAUAGACCUUUGCAAUUAUGGGUCUUCAACGAGGAAUUCCUAGUAAACGCAAGUCAUCAGCUUGCAUUGAUUACGUCCCUGCCCUUUGUACACACCGCCCGUCGCACCUACCGAUUGAAUGGUCCGGUGAAAUCUCGGAACGGCGGCUUGGUCGCUUGCGUCCGACUGCUGAAACUUGAUUAAACCAUAUCAUUUAGAGGAAGGUGAANUCGUAACA
This 320-nucleotide ribosomal RNA is filed under the name uncultured eukaryote. RNAcentral describes it as "partial 18S ribosomal RNA". It matches the Rfam family "Eukaryotic small subunit ribosomal RNA", at positions 1470 to 1796 of the family's 1831-position model. The record is from RNAcentral.